UGAAGAACAAAGAAUGCUCACCAGGUGUUCACGCUCCCCAGAACUAAACCGUUUUUUUGUGUUCCAUUAAAUGAUUUGUUAUAAGUGGUUUUCUAAAUGAUUUACUACUAAUGCUAACCGGCUAGCUAACAUAAGCUUUAUGAGACGUCCUCUCAGAUAUUCCUCUCAGAAAUCCUGUCAGGUUAGCUCAUGCUAACCCAAAGCCCUGAUUACUUAGCUUCUUCUGCCCAGGGUGUCACUGAUCAUGUUCUCUAUUCGCGAUACGGACCAGUGGGUCGUCAGAUCCCUUCUCAGUGUGUGUGUGUGUGUGUGUGUGUGUGUGUGUGUGUGUGUUUUUUAAAUGUCAGCAAGACCUGAUUGUUAGACACAGUGACUCUCCUGCAUCAUUAGGUAACACAGUACACCAGUACUCAAACACACUCACACACUUUCCUCACAAAUAUUUGUGAUUUAAACUUUGAUUCUAAACUAUGACUUUUAACUAGCAUGCUAAUUAUCAUAUACGUCUUGCUACAGCGAUAACUUCCACAGCGCUGCUGAAUUCUGGAUUCUGAUUGGUCCGAAGGCGUUGAUUCAUUUUCUAUAACGGCAGCUCUGACAGUAGCACAGCUCCAAAUCACAGGUUUAUGUUAAUUGUCAGAGCCAUAUCGACGUGUAGUUCUCAUCUGGUGUCUCAUUGAAUCCUGGCCAGUACCUGGAUGGGAAACCUCCUGGGGAAAACUAAGGUCGCUGCUGGAAGUGGUAUUAGUGAGGCCAGCAGGGGGCACUGACCCUGUGGUCUGUGGGACAGGGACACUAUACUGUAAAAACAGCACCGUCUUUCGGAUGAGACGUUAAAACCGAGGUCCUGACUCUCUGUGGUCAUGAAAAAUCCCAGGACAUUUCUCGUAAAGAGUAGGAGUAUAACCCCUUACAAUCUCCAUCCCUGAAUUGGCUACUCUCCUCUCCACCAAUAGCUGGUGUGUGGUGGGCGUUCUGGCGCACUAUGGCUCCCGUUGCUCCAUCCAGGUGGAUUCUAGACACUGGUGGUGGUUGAGGAGAUCCCCCCACACACACCAUACACACCGUGUAAAGCGCCUAGAGUGUCUAGAAAAGCUCUGUAUAAAUGUAACUGUAAUGCGCUCGUUCUAACAUCGUCAUCGUUUCCAUAGUAACAGAUAUGCUUUAGUAUAGUACGCUUUCUCGGUAACAUGACAAGCUGGAAUUUUCAUUUGCCUUAUUAACUUCCAAGAGCGAGAGACGAGGGGGCGACUCUUUAUAGCCACUAUAACGCAAGUUAUACCGUUAAAUGCAACAAUAAAUGGAUAAGAGGUCUCGUAAGUAAGACAUUUUAUGAAAUUUCCUGUCAGAUUUGUUUAUGUUAGCCACCGAACUAGCAUUAGCGGUAAGGAUCGCAGACAUUUAGAACUGUAGCUUUAAAAAGUUACCUCAGGUUAGCUCAUUUUAGCUAGCUGGCUGCUUUCAGCUGAUGUUUCAG
Molecule: long non-coding RNA, 1477 nt
Organism: Ictalurus punctatus (channel catfish)
Lineage: Eukaryota; Metazoa; Chordata; Actinopteri; Siluriformes; Ictaluridae
Source: Ensembl